This 440-nucleotide ribosomal RNA is filed under the name uncultured bacterium. RNAcentral describes it as "partial 16S ribosomal RNA". It matches the Rfam family "Bacterial small subunit ribosomal RNA", at positions 338 to 795 of the family's 1533-position model. The record is from RNAcentral.
CCUACGGGAGGCAGCAGUCGAGAAUCAUUCACAAUGGGGGAAACCCUGAUGCAGCGACGCCGCGUGAGCGAUGAAGUAUUUCGGUAUGGAAAGCUCUAGCAGCAGGGAAGAAAAUGACGGUACCUGACUAAGAAGCCACGGCUAACUACGUGCCAGCAGCCGCGGUAAUACGUAGGGGGCAAGCGUUAUCCGGAUUUACUGGGUGUAAAGGGAGCGUAGACGGCGGUGCAAGCCAGAUGUGAAAGCCCGGGGCUCAACCCCGGGACUGCAUUUGGAACUGUGCUGCUAGAGUGUCGGAGAGGCAGGCGGAAUUCCUAGUGUAGCGGUGAAAUGCGUAGAUAUUAGGAGGAACACCAGUGGCGAAGGCGGCCUGCUGGACGAUGACUGACGUUGAGGCUCGAAAGCGUGGGGAGCAAACAGGAUUAGAUACCCCUGUAGUC